This 73-nucleotide transfer RNA is filed under the name Canis lupus familiaris (dog). It matches the Rfam family "tRNA". From Rfam's summary of the family: Transfer RNA (tRNA) molecules are approximately 80 nucleotides in length. Their secondary structure includes four short double-helical elements and three loops (D, anti-codon, and T loops). The record is from Rfam by way of RNAcentral. Lineage: Eukaryota; Metazoa; Chordata; Mammalia; Carnivora; Canidae. RNAcentral also lists the same sequence under 1 other name.
GCCUAGCUGGUUCAAUCGGUAGAGCACGCGACUCUUGAUCUUGGGGUCAUGAGUUCAGGCCCCAUGUUGGGUG